This 124-nucleotide small RNA is filed under the name Marmota monax (woodchuck). Lineage: Eukaryota; Metazoa; Chordata; Mammalia; Rodentia; Sciuridae. The record is from RNAcentral.
GCCAGCCACAGUGGCGCAUGGCUGUAAUCCCAGUAGCUCAGGAGGCUGAGGCAGGAGGAUCAUGAGUUCAAAGUCAGCCUCAGCAAAGCUAGGUGCUAAACAACUCAGUGAGACCCUGUCUCUG